This 62-nucleotide transfer RNA is filed under the name Melittomma sp. MEL01. Its description in RNAcentral is "tRNA-Gly". The record is from RNAcentral. Lineage: Eukaryota; Metazoa; Arthropoda; Insecta; Coleoptera; Lymexylidae.
ACUCACAUAAUAUAAAAAUUAUAUUUGACUUCCAAUCAAAAAAUCUAGAAACAGUAUGAGUA